AGGACUGGGCCGCGUGGCGGGGACCAUGGUUUUGAGUGCAGCACGGGUAGCCGUCGACCGCGAGAGUGAGGGGGAAGAGGGAAUUGGCGCCGGAGGUGCCACCGGUGACAGAGGGCGAAAUUUUUCCCUUCAAGAUAUGUGAUGCAAACGUCCUAAAACACAUGCGUAAACAGCUGUCAGCCCAUCUCCUUCACUGCUGAUUUGUCUUGAUGUAUAUGUUUGGGCCGGAGGAAUGGUGUUUCUGCAAGUUUGGCUGAUUUUCACUGAAAUAUGCCAUGAAAAUUAGCUGGUGUUCGUGUGCAAGCUUUGAUUGAUUUUGCUUUGCCAAUUUGACUGGUUUAUAGCUAUGAACUUCCCAAAGGCAUAGCCUAAGAGAAUGAUGCAACUGGGAAUGAAAACAAGCAUGGCAAUUCAUACCACAGUCAUGGGGUUUUGCACAAUCACUUGCUCGCGUUUACUAUAUUACACCAAGCUCAUAUCCUCUCACGUCAACCAAGCUCGGCAUGACCAAGCCCUUGCUAUUUUCCACCACAUCCAGUCCUCCCUGGCAAUGCCCCUUGAUCCCCAUGUCUUUUCUCUCAUCCUCAAGUCCUGCACUGCCAUUAACUGUCCCCAACUUGGCACUGCAAUUCAUGCUCACGUCACCAAAGUUUCUUUCAUAUCUAAUCCUUUCAUUGCAAGCACUCUAAUUGACUUAUAUGGCAAGUGUGUCUCACUCUCUAUAGCACGCCAACUGUUUGAUGAAAUUCCCAAAAGAAAUGGUGUUGUUUGGAAUACGAUGAUAUCCCUUUAUACACAUUCUCAUGAUGUAGCUAGUGCUUUACAGCUGUUUGAUGUCAUGGAUAUUAUGCCCAGUGAAUCUACUUUUAAUUCAAUUAUAGCUGGCUUGGCAAGGUUAGAUGGCCGGUCGUUUGAGGCUAUAGCAUUCUACCAACGAAUGCACCAACUAGGAUUGAGACCUCAAUUAAUAACACUUCUUUCUCUACUGCCGGCUUCUGUAGGUGUAACAGCUCUGAAUUUGAUUAGAGAGAUUCAUGGUUAUGCAAUAAGGAAUGACAUUGACUCACAUCCUCAAUUGAGCAGUGGUCUCGUGGAGGCAUAUGGGCGAUGUGGUUGCCUCUUUAAUGCACAUUCUAUAUUUUGGAGUAUGAAGGAAAAAGAUGUAGUUGCUUGGAGCAACAUCAUAUCAGCAUAUGCACUUCAUGGGGACGCAAAAUCUGCGCUAGAAAUUUUCCAUAAAAUGGAACUGGCACAAGUGCGGCCAGAUGGUAUCACAUUUCUUGUUGUAUUAAAAGCUUGUAGCCAUGCAGGGUUAGCUGAUGAAGCAUCCUAUUAUUUUAAGAGAAUGUGUGAAUAUUAUGGCAUUGAAGCAAAUAGUGAUCACUACUCUUGUUUAAUUGAUGUUUUGAGUAGAGCUGGAAGGUUAUAUCAAGCGUAUGAGGUUAUACAAGAGAUGCCAAUAAAGGUGACUGCGAAAGCAUGGGGUGCUCUUCUUGGGGCUUGUCGAACUUAUGGAGAGGUUGAGUUGGCAGAGAUAGCAGGAAGAGCUUUAUCAGAGGUUGAGCCAGAUAAUGCUGCCAAUUAUGUUUUAUUGGCAAAAAUUUAUGCUAGUGUGGGGAGACAUGAGGAAGCUGAGAGAAUGAGAAUGAAAAUGAAUGAGCGAGGAGUAAAGGCAGCAAUUGGCAGCAGUUGGGUUGUAGAUUCAGAGUGAUGACAUUCUAUCUAUAUUAUUCCUAUUGGCCACCCUAUUUUUGUUACAUUGUUGAUAUCAGAGCCAUGGUCAAUGUUUUGAUUCCAGAAAGACACUUUGCAGAAGGCAUGUGUUGGGAGGGAUAGGGAUAUUGUUUGUAGGCCAACAUUCUACCUUGGCAAGGCGUGGGAACCUUGGAAAAUACAAAAUAGUAGAGGCUUUAUUUCAUCCUGGUCUGAGAGUAACAAGUCUGAGCCCACUGCAAAGUCACAUUCCUCUCGGGGGAAUUUCUCUAAUCGCUGUUGUUUCAUCUCCAAACCUGUUCAUCCUCCGUCCUUUUUGACCUUGCUCUGCUAGGGAGGCCUUAGGACCUGCAGUCACAGGCAUUACAGAGUUUGAUGGUUCCAUUCUGAUCACAGGUGCUCAUCGUUGCAGUAGUACUAGCAGCAGUCUUGAUUAUGUUCCCACUUAUUAGUUACUUAUUUAAGCACGAUUGUGUAAUCUCUCUUAUGUUUGGAGCAGCUUUUUGUCUCUCUGGCUUUUAAUCAAAAGCUGCUUAAUUUUGUGCGUUUGUGAGAAGCAAACUCCGCCUACUUUUUGCUUCUUCUUUGUUUUUUUUUUUUUUUGCUAAAGCAUAUUGGAGGCAAUCCUAUUCAAGAU
RNA transcript from Neltuma alba, 2350 nucleotides. It is a transcript of the gene named putative pentatricopeptide repeat-containing protein At1g03510, with no coding region annotated. The record is from RefSeq and is a predicted model, not a curated record. NCBI's taxonomy places the organism in Eukaryota, Viridiplantae, Streptophyta, Magnoliopsida, Fabales, Fabaceae. The transcript is spliced from 3 exons.